UGAGGUUGUGGGUUUGAUCCCUGGCCUCAGUGGGUUAAGGAUCUGGCGUUGCUGUGGCUGGGGUGUAGACCAGCAGCUACAGCUUCAACUUGACCCCUAGCCUGGGAACUUCCAUAUGCCACAGGUACAGCCCUAAAAAGACAAAAGACUAAAAUCAAAUAAAAAAUAAAAAUAUUAUUUUCAGGUGUUUAAUGUAGUAAUUCAGUACUUUUACAGAUUACACUCCAUUAAAAAUUAUUAUGAAUACUGGCUAUAAUUCCAGGAUAAUCUUGUUGCUAGUAUUCUUUAAAUUAAGGCCAAAGGUGGGGGGAAUGCUAUGAGUCAGAUUUUCAGAAAAUUAUUUAGAGUAAGCUGAAAUUCCAGCACCACCUACUCCUAAAUGCCAUUAAAAUGUCCUUGAAAUCAACCCCAGUAAACUCUCAGGCACAGCCAGAACAUAAAAAGAAGGAGCAGAGCUUAGAAUCUGAAUCUGUAUAAUCUAGCCCUUCCUAAUGGGAAGAGAUUCAGAAGUGGGGUCCCUUCACACAGCCUUGAGCCCACAUGGCUGGAGAGACUGAUGAGCAGUGAGUAUGUGGAGGGAAGGCAGCUCCUGCCGCCGGCCGAUACCCAGUGCCCACAUCUGAGCUGAGCUCUCUGCCCAGCCCUCAGAGAGGAAACCAGGGACACAGCCCAAACCCCCAGCCUCAGGUCAGGAACUGCUCUGAGUGGAACUGGGAAGAGAGGUCGCCCCAUCAGCUCACGGGCUGGGACAUUUACAGUAAGGACACCGCCUUGGAAACUCAGGAGAACAACCUGGAUGCAGGAGCAGCCAAGCUGGGUUGCAGAUCUUUCCUCUAUCCUCCUCCUCUUGGCAUGAGUGACUCAGCCCUCCCAAGGUGCUGGCUCCACUGCUGGCUCUCCUCCACUCCUGCUUCUACCUCCUCUCUGUGGGCUGAUACCUAAAAACGACUAAAGCAUGGGCACCUGCCAAGCGGAACAGACACCAGCUGUAACAGUGGAGAGGAGUAGCCCAAACUUAGUGGCCUGGAACAACAAAUAUUUACAAUCAAGAAGUCGGAGCUGCUUUGUUGGGUGGUCCUGGCUCAGGGCCUCUUGUGAACUUGUAGCCAGUGGUCAAUGGGAGUUGUAGUCAUUGAAGGCUUGACCAGGGCUGGAGGAUCUGCUUCCAGGAUGUCUCACUUGUGGGCUGUGAGCAGGAGGCCUCAGUGCCUCAUCAGGGGGCAUCUCCACAGGGCUGCUUGAGUGUCCUCACAACAUGGCGGCUGGCUUCUCCAGACGGAAUGGCACAAAAGAGCAAGGCAAAGUCAUGGUGUCUUUGGUGACCCAGCCUUGAGAGUCACCCUCUCAUUUCUGCCGUAUCUUAGGGGCUACAUAGAUCAGCUGUAUUCUGUAUGAGAGAGACUAUACAACCAUGUAAACAGCAGGGGGUGAGGCUUGUUGGAGGGAGGAUUCUCCCAGGAAGGAGGCUGGGUAUCACAGUACCCUAUUACUCCCUCAGAAUAAAAUACAAAUGCCCGGCCUUUGGCCUGAAAAGCCUGGCAUGAACUGGCCCCUAUCUACUGUCCAGUCUCAUCCUGUCCUUCUUUUUAAGCAGGUUUUAAGUAGGGAGUGAUAGGGUACUGUGGUACCCUCUUAGAAUAAAAUACAAAUGCCUGGCCUUCAGCCUGAAAAGGCUGGCAUGAACUGUCCAGUCUCAUUCCGUCCUUCUUUACCCACUAAACACAAUAACCUUCCCUCUGUCCCUCAGUUUCCCAAGUUCAUCCUUUAUAUUUGCUGUGCCCUCUGCCUAGAAGUCUCCUUACCCAGAUCUUUGCAUGGCUGGUCCCUUCUCAUCUUUCAGGUCUCAGCUCGGAUGUUACCUCCUCAGCCAGGCUUCCCCGACCACCUUGUCAAAAAUAGCUCCUGCCCUAGCCUGUCACUCUCUCUCUCACAUCACCUUGUGGUCUUUUGGGUUUGGUUUGGUUUGGUUUUUGUUCGCUGUUACAAAUCUGUAGAUACUACAUGAAUGAUGAUAUGGAAUUUGCAUUUUAUGGUCUGCCAGUAUGAUGCAUUUACACACACGCACAGUUUCAAGGUCAGCUCCGGUUCCUUAGGAGAUGCUCAUUCACAUCACUUUGCGUUAAUUUUUUCCUAGCACUGACCUCUAUCUGAAAUUAUCUUGUUUACUGGAUUAUUGCCCUUCUCCCUUCAUGUCCCAGCAAGCGUCCUUGUUUACAAGCAGCAGUCUCCUCUCUAGAUGGUUAAAACCAAAGGAAUUUGAUAAAGGUUACUGGGGACCUCGUAACAUCUCCAGAAAGGCAGAGAACUAGGCAGCGAGGCCAUCUGUGGGGAUAACCCCCACUGCACUGACACCACUUUCCCUGGUGCAGGGGGGCACUUGAAGAUGGACACCCCCAAUGGGGUGGCUACCGCUUCCUCCUCUGAGAUCCAGAUGGAUCUGCUCUCCUCCUCUCCAGAGAAGAUGCCUUAGCACUGGCUCCUCAGGGACCCUUAACCUCAUGCAGGUGCAUCUGGCUGGAGGUGUCUUAAGUGGCAUGUCUGCCCCAUCUGCAGGUGAGGCUGGGAAAGGAUCUGGCUUCCACCUUGGGGAGGUGUAAGUCCAUUGGGUGGAGGAAUUCUCAAAGUGUAGGAAGCGUGUUCGUUGGUGUGGGGAAGCCAAAGUGAGCUGAUGACAUAUAUCCUCCACUAUCUACCCCCCUUAGUUACUGGACCUCAUCAUCAACCCUUCUCCCAUAAUUGAUCUUACAAACCACAGCAGAACCCAGGAGAAAGCUGAGAGCUGUGUCUCAAAAAGAGAAGAAUUCCUUGAAAAGAGGAUUCAUGGCUUCACUCCAAAACUCAGGGCUUUCUGUUAUCCUCUGACCGCCUCGCUCACGGAUCUAUUCCUUGCUUGCCUAGAGCUGCCCCUGGGUGAGUGCUCUGAGAGCAGGGACCUUGUUCAUCUCUCCAUCCUCAGAACCCAGAACAGUGCCCGGCCCACCAGAGGUACUGGAAAGGUUGAGUUACUGAGUCGUGUCCAUGAAUUGUCCCCUCCCACAGUGAAUAGGGCUGACCUGUGUGACUAGUAAGGAAGGGCGGAAGUGACAUGUGUGACUUUCAAACCUCAGCCUCCAUGGCUAACAGCCUCCUUUGGCUCUUCCAGCUUCAGGUUUCAGAGAAGGAGAAUCCGAUUGGCUCAUGUUGCCUAUUUGUACCAUGUCAUAGAUCAUUAGGGGGCCUAUAAACUGGGGGCUUUGGGGUGAGGUGUCUGCCCGCUUUGGUUGUCCGAAGGGGCUGAUGGCCACCCAGACACUGCAGUUAACAAACAACAAGGGGGUCCCUUUACAUGGAUUUGAAAAUCUCCAUGUAAGACUUUCUCCCAUAGAGUCAGAAAUACUCAUGAAAACCCCUUAAAUUACCCCUAAAUUUCUCUACUGUAUAGGACUGUCUACUGAAAACCUAGUUCAGCCAGUUUUCCUUUCCAAGUAGGAAGAGGUGGCUGUUUAUUUGGUUGCCUGCGGAUGAAGUAGCUGGUUUACCUGAUGGUCUUGUUGGAUGAAAAAUCCCAUCUUCAGGAGUUCCCGUCAUGGUGCGGUGGUUAAUGAAUCCGACUAGGAACCGUGAGGUUGCAGGUUCGAUCCCUGCCCUUGCUCAGUGAGUUAAGGAUCUGGUGUUGCUGUGAGCUGUGGUGUAGGUUGCAGACGCAGCUCUGAUCCUGCGUUGCCAUGGCUCUGGUGUAGGCCAGUGGCUACAGCUCAGAUUAGACCCCUAGGCUGGGAACCUCCAUAUGCCAUGGGAGCAACCCUAGAAAAGGCAAAAAGA
This 3801-nucleotide long non-coding RNA is filed under the name Sus scrofa (pig). Its description in RNAcentral is "lncRNA (ENSSSCG00015078992.1)". The record is from RNAcentral. Lineage: Eukaryota; Metazoa; Chordata; Mammalia; Artiodactyla; Suidae.